GCAAAGUCAGUAGUUCCAAAUCGAUGGCGGCGAAGCUGAAUGACAGGAAAAGUGAAAAGGCAUUAUCUCCGCAGGAGAAACAGAAACGAAAGCCGAAGCAGGAUUCGUCUUCGUAUGAAAGUAU
This 124-nucleotide ribosomal RNA is filed under the name Foraminifera environmental sample. RNAcentral's name for it is "partial Microsporidia small subunit ribosomal RNA". Lineage: Eukaryota; Foraminifera. The record is from RNAcentral.